GACGAACGCUGGCGGCGUGCUUAACACAUGCAAGUCGAACGAAGUGGCGAACGGGUGAGUAACGCGUAAUCAACCUGCCCUUCAGAGGGGGACAACAGUUGGAAACGCCUGCUAAUACCGCAUACUGAAGGAGGGGAUUGCGUCUGAUUAGCUAGUUGGAGGGGUAACGGCCAAACAAGGUGAUGGUCAUUAGCCUGGCUGGGGGGAUGAACGGCCACAUUGGUCCUGGUGCACGGCCCAGACUCCUACGGGAGGCAGCAGUGGGGAAUCUUCCGCAAUGGACGAAAGUCUGACGGAGCAACGCCGCGUGAGUGAUGACGGCCUUCGGGUUGUAAAGCUCUUUUAAUCGGGACGCGGUACCGGAAUAGAAAGCCACGGCUAACUACGUGCCAGCAGCCGCGGUAAUAC
Molecule: ribosomal RNA, 408 nt
Filed under: uncultured bacterium
Lineage: Bacteria
Description: partial 16S ribosomal RNA
Rfam family: Bacterial small subunit ribosomal RNA
Source: RNAcentral